Papaver somniferum (opium poppy) is the source of this 1904-nucleotide RNA transcript. It is a transcript of the gene named transcription factor IIIB 60 kDa subunit-like, with no coding region annotated. The record is from RefSeq and is a predicted model, not a curated record. NCBI's taxonomy places the organism in Eukaryota, Viridiplantae, Streptophyta, Magnoliopsida, Ranunculales, Papaveraceae. The transcript has 16 exons.
CUCUACUUCUCUAGCGAAGGUAGAAAGUUCCUCAUUAGCGAGUCACUCAUUUUCAUCGAGAACGCCACCUUCUCUACCUCUCUACUCAUUCAUUUUCAUUUCAAACGCCUUGCUAAUUUCCUUUUUUACUUCUCCAAAAACCCUAACAGCGCCAGCGCCAUCGCCAUCAUUUUUGAUCAGCCUAGUUCACGGUAACUAUUUGGUUUCAAGUAACAAUUCCCGCCUCUCGUUGUUUCACUUCCAAUUCAUCAAAAGCUCAGUGGUACCAGAUUUCACCUCACUGUAACAAAAAUGUCCUGGUGUGAAUGCUCCAACAAUCCAUGAUCAUGAUUUUUUUUGAAGCAUGAUCAUGAUGAUUGUGCUGUUCUGUCUGUGGAAGGGUUAUUGAUCAGGAAGUGUUCUCCGCUUAAGCUACUUCUUUUGUAGAGGCUGGAGGACAGAGUCAAUGUGUGAAGCUUUGUGAGGAGCGUGGAAAGCAGUUACUCAGUGUCAUACGAAAGGACUGAAUAACGGAAGAAAGGAAAUUGAUCAUAUGGCAACAAGUCUCUUAAUAGGUGGUGGUGGUUCUGUGAUUGAUGAAGUGGCAGGGUAUUACAAGGAAUUCACUGGUGGGCGGAGGACAGGUUGCGGCUGCUUGUCUUUGCGUCACAUGUCAAAAAAACGAAAAGCCACACCUUCUCAUUGAUCUUUUCAGAAUAUUUACAGAUAAAUGACUCUGCAAAUUGCUGAGACUUGAACAGCAUGACUUUGUUCAGAAACUUGUUGAUCGUACUCUUUCAUUCAUCGAUUUACAGAACGUUUAUUGGGAAAGAAGAGUGUAGUGUUGUCUAAUACUGCAUUGCUCAUCAUAGCUAGCAUGAAGCGAGAUUGGAUGCAGACGGGGCGAAAACCUAGUGGCUAGUUUGGUCCAGCAUUGUGCAUAUCUGCACUCUCCCAUGGACUUGGGUAUUCAAAGGCAAAUGUUUUCAUCAAACUUUCUGGAGGACUUCAAGGAGGUUCAGAAACUCCAGCAUUCCAGCGUGCUGAAAGGGAGAGAAUGGCAAAAGCUACUGCAGAAACCAAUGCUUUGAAAAGCUCAGUCUCAUCUUUCGAAGAGACUCCAGAUGCUGUUGAAAAAGAGAAACUCAGCCCUGAACCAUCACGUCGUGUUGGUUGGUUGCUCUACCCAGAGUGCUGAAGCGUACUAAACAAAAGUAUAUCUUGCCAUCUCGUAUAACUCUCAAGCUAUUUUAUAAAUUCCAGGACAAGAAGGUGCUACUAUUGGACAUCAGGAGGUUGUUAAGGAAGAUAGUGAAUACAAUAGCUGGUGAUGAAUCAGAAAGCCUAUCUGACAUCAACGAUACUGAGGUGGAAGGAUACCUUCACAACGAGGAGGAAAAGCACUAUAAAAGGAUAAUCUGGGAAGAGAUGAGUAAGGAGUAUAUUGAGGAACAAGCAGCUAAAGAAGCAGUGGCAGCAGCUGCUAAUUUGCGGAACUGUCCAGUGGAAGCACAGGAACUUGCUUUGUUGCCAAGCCAUAAAGAGACUAAACUCCAGAAUCAACUAUGAUGUGUUGGACAACCCUCUGAUGACUCUACGACUGCUGAGUCCGUAAAAGUGAAGCGGACUGAAUGUGAUAAAAGAGACAUUCCUCCUAAGAUAGAAGUCAGGGGUGAGGAGGACGAAGAUAUGAUCGUUGACAUGUCAGUUGGGGUACUUUUACAUACAUUAUUGAUAGUUUGUUUUUCUCUAAGCCAAACCGGGAGGAAUGCGAAACUUGUAGUACUAGUCUAAACUGUUAACAAAUGCUGAACUAAGUUACUCAAUAGCCAAUUAAAAAGAAUGUAUACCACAGAACUGAUAGACUGAAACAGUUACAUUAUUUUAAAGCAGUACAUAAUAGAUAUAUUCUUACGGUUACGUUA